This 29-nucleotide small RNA is filed under the name Bombyx mori (domestic silkworm). RNAcentral describes it as "ovarian small RNA-638". Lineage: Eukaryota; Metazoa; Arthropoda; Insecta; Lepidoptera; Bombycidae. The record is from RNAcentral.
UUGCGAUGUGCACUUCGCGUUAGCGCCGC